This is a non-coding RNA of Blyttiomyces helicus, 74 nucleotides long. Lineage: Eukaryota; Fungi; Chytridiomycota; Chytridiomycetes. The record is from the annotation of a GenBank genome assembly.
GUGUGGUUGGUUUAGUGGCUAAACUAUCAUUCCGUGGUCUGUGGCAGUCCCGCGUUCGAUUCCCGGACCAAGCA